CUUUUACAAUGAAGAGUUUGAUCCUGGCUCAGGAUGAACGCUAGCUACAGGCUUAACACAUGCAAGUCGAGGGGCAGCAUUUUAGUUUGCUUGCAAACUAAAGAUGGCGACCGGCGCACGGGUGAGUAACACGUAUCCAACCUGCCGAUAACUCGGGGAUAGCCUUUCGAAAGAAAGAUUAAUAUCCGAUAGUAUAUUAAAACCGCAUGGUUUUACUAUUAAAGAAUUUCGGUUAUCGAUGGGGAUGCGUUCCAUUAGUUUGUUGGCGGGGUAACGGCCCACCAAGACUACGAUGGAUAGGGGUUCUGAGAGGAAGGUCCCCCACAUUGGAACUGAGACACGGUCCAAACUCCUACGGGAGGCAGCAGUGAGGAAUAUUGGUCAAUGGACGAGAGUCUGAACCAGCCAAGUAGCGUGAAGGAUGACUGCCCUAUGGGUUGUAAACUUCUUUUAUAUGGGAAUAAAGUAUUCCACGUGUGGGAUUUUGUAUGUACCAUAUGAAUAAGGAUCGGCUAACUCCGUGCCAGCAGCCGCGGUAAUACGGAGGAUCCGAGCGUUAUCCGGAUUUAUUGGGUUUAAAGGGAGCGUAGGUGGAUUGUUAAGUCAGUUGUGAAAGUUUGCGGCUCAACCGUAAAAUUGCAGUUGAAACUGGCAGUCUUGAGUACAGUAGAGGUGGGCGGAAUUCGUGGUGUAGCGGUGAAAUGCUUAGAUAUCACGAAGAACUCCGAUUGCGAAGGCAGCUCACUAGACUGCAACUGACACUGAUGCUCGAAAGUGUGGGUAUCAAACAGGAUUAGAUACCCUGGUAGUCCACACAGUAAACGAUGAAUACUCGCUGUUUGCGAUAUACAGUAAGCGGCCAAGCGAAAGCAUUAAGUAUUCCACCUGGGGAGUACGCCGGCAACGGUGAAACUCAAAGGAAUUGACGGGGGCCCGCACAAGCGGAGGAACAUGUGGUUUAAUUCGAUGAUACGCGAGGAACCUUACCCGGGCUUAAAUUGCAUUUGAAUAAUCUGGAAACAGGUUAGCCGCAAGGCAAAUGUGAAGGUGCUGCAUGGUUGUCGUCAGCUCGUGCCGUGAGGUGUCGGCUUAAGUGCCAUAACGAGCGCAACCCUUAUCUUUAGUUACUAACAGGUUAUGCUGAGGACUCUAGAGAGACUGCCGUCGUAAGAUGUGAGGAAGGUGGGGAUGACGUCAAAUCAGCACGGCCCUUACGUCCGGGGCUACACACGUGUUACAAUGGGGGGUACAGAAGGCAGCUACCUGGUGACAGGAUGCUAAUCCCAAAAACCUCUCUCAGUUCGGAUCGAAGUCUGCAACCCGACUUCGUGAAGCUGGAUUCGCUAGUAAUCGCGCAUCAGCCAUGGCGCGGUGAAUACGUUCCCGGGCCUUGUACACACCGCCCGUCAAGCCAUGAAAGCCGGGGGUACCUGAAGUACGUAACCGCAAGGAGCGUCCUAGGGUAAAACUGGUAAUUGGGGCUAAGUCGUAACAAGGUAGCCGUACCGGAAGGUGCGGCUGGAACACCUCCUUUCU
This 1536-nucleotide ribosomal RNA is filed under the name Bacteroides xylanisolvens. RNAcentral's name for it is "bacterial SSU rRNA". It matches the Rfam family "Bacterial small subunit ribosomal RNA". The record is from RNAcentral. Lineage: Bacteria; Pseudomonadati; Bacteroidota; Bacteroidia; Bacteroidales; Bacteroidaceae.